GUUCCUACGGGACGCAGCAGUGAGGAAUAUUGGUCAAUGGACGGAAGUCUGAACCAGCCAUGCCGCGUGCAGGAAGACGGCUCUAUGAGUUGUAAACUGCUUUUGUACGAGGGUAAACCUGAAUACGUGUAUUCAGCUGAAAGUACUGUACGAAUAAGGAUCGGCUAACUCCGUGCCAGCAGCCGCGGUAAUACGGAGGAUCCAAGCGUUAUCCGGAUUUAUUGGGUUUAAAGGGUGCGUAGGCGGUAUUUUAAGUUAGUGGUAAAACGUCGGGGCUUCACCUUGAUUGGCCAUUAAAACUGGAG
RNAcentral lists this ribosomal RNA (305 nucleotides) under uncultured bacterium. Its description in RNAcentral is "bacterial SSU rRNA". It matches the Rfam family "Bacterial small subunit ribosomal RNA", at positions 335 to 638 of the family's 1533-position model. The record is from RNAcentral.